GUAGGUGAACCUGCGGAAGGAUCAUUACUAGAGCAAAGGAUAGACAGCGCCCGCGGAGCUCGCUCCCGGGGCCACCCUACUCCGGUAGGGUUUAGAGUCGUCGGGCCUCUCGGAGAAGCUCGGUCCUGAACUCCACCCUUGAAUAAACUACCUUUGUUGCUUUGGCGGGCCGCCUCGUGCCAGCGGCUUCGGCUGUUGAGUGCCCGCCAGAGGACCACAACUCUUGUUUUUAGUGAUGUCUGAGUACUAUAUAAUAGUUAAAACUUUCAACAACGGAUCUCUUGGUUCUG
This 290-nucleotide unclassified non-coding RNA is filed under the name rhizosphere metagenome. Its description in RNAcentral is "partial ribosomal RNA internal transcribed spacer region". The record is from RNAcentral.